GGACCUUUAGCUCAGCGGUAGAGCAAUCGACUGCAGAUCGAUAGGUCCCCGGUUCAAUCCCGGGAGGGUCCU
Polychytrium aggregatum is the source of this 72-nucleotide non-coding RNA. Lineage: Eukaryota; Fungi; Chytridiomycota; Chytridiomycetes; Polychytriales. The record is from the annotation of a RefSeq genome assembly.